RNAcentral lists this ribosomal RNA (472 nucleotides) under uncultured bacterium. Its description in RNAcentral is "bacterial SSU rRNA". It matches the Rfam family "Bacterial small subunit ribosomal RNA", at positions 355 to 825 of the family's 1533-position model. The record is from RNAcentral.
UGGGGAAUAUUGGACAAUGGGCGAAAGCCUGAUCCAGCCAUGCCGCGUGUGUGAAGAAGGUCUUCGGAUUGUAAAGCACUUUAAGUUGGGAGGAAGGACAGUUACCUAAUACGUGAUUGUUUUGACGUUACCGACAGAAUAAGCACCGGCUAACUCUGUGCCAGCAGCCGCGGUAAUACAGAGGGUGCAAGCGUUAAUCGGAAUUACUGGGCGUAAAGCGCGCGUAGGUGGUUAGUUAAGUUGGAUGUGAAAUCCCCGGGCUCAACCUGGGAACUGCAUUCAAAACUGACUGACUAGAGUAUGGUAGAGGGUGGUGGAAUUUCCUGUGUAGCGGUGAAAUGCGUAGAUAUAGGAAGGAACACCAGUGGCGAAGGCGACCACCUGGACUGAUACUGACACUGAGGUGCGAAAGCGUGGGGAGCAAACAGGAUUAGAUACCCUAGUAGUCCCUGAGCGGGCUGGCAAGGCGCAU